AGGGGCCCAAAGCCAGGGCCACAUAUAGGCCCUAGCUGCCCCAAAAUACACCAAAUCCAACCAUGGUUCAACCUAGAGACCGUAACAAUAGCCUCACUGCAUUCAUAGUAAUAGUAAGUCAGGAGCCCAAAGCCAGGGCCACAUUUAGGCCCUAGCUGCUCGUUUUUUAUAUACUUACCCUUUGGUAUACUACCACUACCUGUGAAGCAUUCCUUCAUGAUUGUUGAACCACAAUCAAGAUUCGGUGAGUAACCUGCAAGAUAAGAGAUUUCGAGCAAUAUACACAUACACCAGGCAUACCCGGGCAAUAUACACCAAUUCCAACUAUUACAUCUGCACAUUAAGAUUAAUAGGGGGGAGGGAGUAUAAUGUUCUAUAAACUUGAAAUUGGAUGCUUCUGAUAAUAUCAGAUGGUAUAGGAGCAAUUCCGUCAAAAAUCAAGCUAUUCCUCGCCUUCCAAAUGGCAUAGACUGUACAGGUCAAAGCAAUAAAUUUUCCCAUCUUUCGCUGACUCCUCUGACUUCCUCGUCUUUUUAACAGUUUCAAGGCACUUUCGAUAGUUGACAUCCUGUUCGAGAUUCCUAGCCAUAGCUUGAUGUGCUGCCAGAUUUGGUGACUGAAAUUACAGGAGAAAAAUAAGUGUUUCACCGUUUCGUUCUGAGCAUCAC
This 668-nucleotide long non-coding RNA is filed under the name Erythranthe guttata (spotted monkey flower). RNAcentral's name for it is "long non-coding RNA (EGUT_LNC000905)". Lineage: Eukaryota; Viridiplantae; Streptophyta; Magnoliopsida; Lamiales; Phrymaceae. The record is from RNAcentral.